UGAGGAAUAUUGGUCAAUGGACGCAAGUCUGAACCAGCCAAGUCGCGUGCAGGAAUAAGGCCCUAUGGGUCGCAGACUGCUUUUGCAUGAGAAUAAAAAAGUGGGACGAGCCCCACCCUGUAGGUAUCAUGCGAAUAAGGAUCGGCUAACUCCGUGCCAGCAGCCGCGGUAAUACGGAGGAUCCGAACGUUAUCCGGAUUCAUUGGGUUUAAAGGGUGCGCAGGCGGGUCUGUAAGCCCGUGGUGAAAGCCUGGUGCUCAACGCCAGAGGUGCCGCGGGAACUGCAGAUCUUGAGUCGUGACGAGGGCGGCGGAAUGCGUUGUGUAGCGGUGAAAUGCAUAGAUAUGACGCAGAACUCCGAUUGCGAAGGCAGCACACCGGGCGCCUACGGACGCU
This 396-nucleotide ribosomal RNA is filed under the name uncultured Solitalea sp. Its description in RNAcentral is "bacterial SSU rRNA". It matches the Rfam family "Bacterial small subunit ribosomal RNA", at positions 355 to 747 of the family's 1533-position model. Lineage: Bacteria; Pseudomonadati; Bacteroidota; Sphingobacteriia; Sphingobacteriales; Sphingobacteriaceae. The record is from RNAcentral.